UUGAAACACUAGUUCUCAUACGAUCACCGAAGAUAAGCAAUGUGGAACCUGGUCAUUACCUAGAUGGGUCAUCGCUUGGGAAUACCAGGCACUGCAUG
Acanthosepion pharaonis is the source of this 98-nucleotide non-coding RNA. Lineage: Eukaryota; Metazoa; Mollusca; Cephalopoda; Sepiida; Sepiidae. The record is from the annotation of a GenBank genome assembly.